Molecule: unclassified non-coding RNA, 152 nt
Filed under: soil metagenome
Description: partial internal transcribed spacer 1
Source: RNAcentral
CCGAGUUAUACAACUCAUCAACCCCUGUGAACAUACCUAUAACGUUGCCUCGGCGGGAAUCAGCCCGCGCCCUGUAAAACGGGACGCCCCCGCAGAGGACCCAUAACCUCUGAUUUUAUAAUGUACUUCUGAGUUAAAAAGCAAAUAAAUCA